UUCCUGGUGGUCCAGUGGCUAAGACUCCAAGCUCCCAGUGCAGGGGGCCCAGGUUCGAUUCCUGGUCAGGGAA
Molecule: non-coding RNA, 73 nt
Organism: Bos taurus (domestic cattle)
Lineage: Eukaryota; Metazoa; Chordata; Mammalia; Artiodactyla; Bovidae
Source: Rfam